RNAcentral lists this non-coding RNA (1389 nucleotides) under Subdoligranulum variabile DSM 15176. RNAcentral's name for it is "Bacterial large subunit ribosomal RNA". It matches the Rfam family "Bacterial large subunit ribosomal RNA", at positions 566 to 2044 of the family's 2925-position model. The record is from Rfam by way of RNAcentral. Lineage: Bacteria; Bacillati; Bacillota; Clostridia; Eubacteriales; Oscillospiraceae.
ACAAGCACAUAGAGCACAUCAACGUGUGAUAUGGUACUUUUUGUAGAACGGUCCGGCGAGCGAUUGUACGUUGCGAGCUUAAGCACUUCAGGUGCGGAGGCGUAGCGAGAGCGAGUCUGAAUAGGGCGUUCAGUAACGUGCAAUGGGCCCGAAACCGGGUGACCUACCCAUGAUCAGGCUGAAGUGAAAGUAAAAUUUCAUGGAGGGCCGAACCGACCUCCGUUGAAAAGGCGGCGGAUGAAUUGUGGGUAGCGGAGAAAUUCCAAUCGAACUCGGAGAUAGCUGGUUCUCCCCGAAAUAGCUUUAGGGCUAGCCUCAUGUUAGAUACCCGGAGGUAAAGCACUGAAUGGCCUAGCGCCCGAGAGGGUAGCGAAGCCUAUCAAACUAAGAAUGCCGGAGUAUCGAUGCAUGGGAGUCAGACAGUGUGAGAUAAAUCUCAUUGUCAAAAGGGAAACAGCCCAGAUCUACAGCUAAGGUCCCAAAUUGUAUCUAAGUGGAAAACGAUGUGAAAAUACACAGACAACCAGGAUGUUGGCUCAGAAGCAGCCACUCAUUUAAAGAGUGCGUAAUAGCUCACUGGUCGAGCGUCUUUGCGCGGAAAAUUUAACGGGGCUAAGAUACAAACCGAAGCUUAGGCUGCAUCGUAAGAUGCGGGGUAGGGGAGCGUUGUGUAAGCGGAGAAACAGUAGCGUAAGCGGCUGUGGAGUUUACAGAAGUGAGAAUGCCGGAAUGAGUAGCGCGAAUGCAGUGAGAAUCUGCAUGGCCGGAAACCUCAGGUUUUUGGAGGAAGGUUCGUCCGCUCCAAGUUAGGCGGGAGCUAAGGUGAGGCCGAAAGGCGUAGCCGAUGCACAGACGGUAGAGAUUCCGUCCCCACCGAAAGAUUUAAGCGCAGGGACACUUUUUGAAGGUCAGAGCCGGGUGUUGGUUCCGGUAGUGAUCGAGGGAAAUUUAGUACCGAAGUCUGGCUGAAUGAGAGGCGAGAAAAGCUGCGUGUAUAUCUAAGGUGCCCGUACCGCAAACCGACACAGGUAGGUAGGAAGAAGAUUCUAAGGCCAACGGGAGAAGGGUUGUUAAGGAACUCGGCAAGUUGACCCCGUAACUUCGGAAUAAGGGGUGCUCACGAGAGUGAGCCGCAGAGAAUAGGCCCAGGCAACUGUUUACCAAAAACACAGGUUUGUGCUAAAUCGAAAGAUGACGUAUACGAGCUGACGCCUGCCCGGUGCUGGAAGGUUAAAAGGAGAUGUGCAAGCAUUGAAUUGAAGCCCCAGUGAACGGCGGCCGUAACUAUAACGGUCCUAAGGUAGCGAAAUUCCUUGUCAGGUAAGUUCUGACCCGCAUGAAAGGCGUAAUGAUCUGGGCACUGUCUCAACAGCCCGCCCGGCGAAAUUG